AGUAGGGCGGGACACGUGGUAUCCUGUCUGAAUAUGGGGGGACCAUCCUCCAAGGCUAAAUACUCCUGACUGACCGAUAGUGAACCAGUACCGUGAGGGAAAGGCGAAAAGAACCCCGGCGAGGGGAGUGAAAAAGAACCUGAAACCGUGUACGUACAAGCAGUGGGAGCACGCUUAGGCGUGUGACUGCGUACCUUUUGUAUAAUGGGUCAGCGACUUAUAUUCUGUAGCAAGGUUAACCGAAUAGGGGAGCCGAAGGGAAACCGAGUCUUAACUGGGCGUUAAGUUGCAGGGUAUAGACCCGAAACCCGGUGAUCUAGCCAUGGGCAGGUUGAAGGUUGGGUAACACUAACUGGAGGACCGAACCGACUAAUGUUGAAAAAUUAGCGGAUGACUUGUGGCUGGGGGUGAAAGGCCAAUCAAACCGGGAGAUAGCUGGUUCUCCCCGAAAGCUAUUUAGGUAGCGCCUCGUGAAUUCAUCUCCGGGGGUAGAGCACUGUUUCGGCAAGGGGGUCAUCCCGACUUACCAACCCGAUGCAAACUGCGAAUACCGGAGAAUGUUAUCACGGGAGACACACGGCGGGUGCUAACGUCCGUCGUGAAGAGGGAAACAACCCAGACCGCCAGCUAAGGUCCCAAAGUCAUGGUUAAGUGGGAAACGAUGUGGGAAGGCCCAGACAGCCAGGAUGUUGGCUUAGAAGCAGCCAUCAUUUAAAGAAAGCGUAAUAGCUCACUGGUCGAGUCGGCCUGCGCGGAAGAUGUAACGGGGCUAAACCAUGCACCGAAGCUGCGGCAGCGACGCUGAUGCGUUGUUGGGUAGGGGAGCGUUCUGUAAGCCUGCGAAGGUGUGCUGUGAGGCAUGCUGGAGGUAUCAGAAGUGCGAAUGCUGACAUAAGUAACGAUAAAGCGGGUGAAAAGCCCGCUCGCCGGAAGACCAAGGGUUCCUGUCCAACGUUAAUCGGGGCAGGGUGAGUCGACCCCUAAGGCGAGGCCGAAAGGCGUAGUCGAUGGGAAACAGGUUAAUAUUCCUGUACUUGGUGUUACUGCGAAGGGGGGACGGAGAAGGCUAUGUUGGCCGGGCGACGGUUGUCCCGGUUUAAGCGUGUAGGCUGGUUUUCCAGGCAAAUCCGGAAAAUCAAGGCUGAGGCGUGAUGACGAGGCACUACGGUGCUGAAGCAACAAAUGCCCUGCUUCCAGGAAAAGCCUCUAAGCAUCAGGUAACAUCAAAUCGUACCCCAAACCGACACAGGUGGUCAGGUAGAGAAUACCAAGGCGCUUGAGAGAACUCGGGUGAAGGAACUAGGCAAAAUGGUGCCGUAACUUCGGGAGAAGGCACGCUGAUAUGUAGGUGAAGUCCCUCGCGGAUGGAGCUGAAAUCAGUCGAAGAUACCAGCUGGCUGCAACUGUUUAUUAAAAACACAGCACUGUGCAAACACGAAAGUGGACGUAUACGGUGUGACGCCUGCCCGGUGCCGGAAGGUUAAUUGAUGGGGUUAGCGCAAGCGAAGCUCUUGAUCGAAGCCCCGGUA
This 1529-nucleotide ribosomal RNA is filed under the name Escherichia coli. RNAcentral's name for it is "partial 23S ribosomal RNA". It matches the Rfam family "Bacterial large subunit ribosomal RNA", at positions 411 to 1925 of the family's 2925-position model. The record is from RNAcentral. Lineage: Bacteria; Pseudomonadati; Pseudomonadota; Gammaproteobacteria; Enterobacterales; Enterobacteriaceae.